RNAcentral lists this transfer RNA (71 nucleotides) under Loxodonta africana (African savanna elephant). It matches the Rfam family "tRNA". From Rfam's summary of the family: Transfer RNA (tRNA) molecules are approximately 80 nucleotides in length. Lineage: Eukaryota; Metazoa; Chordata; Mammalia; Proboscidea; Elephantidae. The record is from Rfam by way of RNAcentral.
GCAUUGGUAGUUCCACGGUAGAACGCCCGCUUUUCGUGUGGGAGACCUGAGUUCAGUUCCUGGUCGAUGCC